UGUAUCUAGACAUAUUUUAGUUCUAGAUACAUCCCUUUUUGUCCAUUUUGAUGACAAGUAUUUUCGGACGGAGGGAGUACAUAGAAGUAGAUCGGAUUGGUCACAAAUAUCUUACUACUUCAGCAGCAGUUAUGUUUUUCCAACUGAAAUCAUUUUCCUUGCUAGGCACUAGCUAUACCUGAAAACAGGUAAGAGACAUGUUGUUGGCAACUUACCCUUAGUUACAGUUGAGGUACUUGCACAAAAGACGUGUGAAAAUGUUUGAUUUUAACAUUGUUUUACCAUAUGCUUUGAUUUCAUCGGGAAAGAGGAGAAGACGAGAGGAAAAGAGUCCCUAAGGGUAAGUAUGGCGGAGCACAACAGGUUGAAACAAAAAUACUGAGAUGGUGUUGAGAACAGAAAAUAGGAGAAAUACUCCAAUGUUUUACACAACAUGUUGUGACACAUGCACACGACAUAGAUAUUUUAAUCAAUAUCUCAUUUAAUGAACUAAUCAAGAAAGAAAAAAAUAGAUUGACUCAUGAUGACAAAUAUGUUCGUCUUGAUUUGUACUAUCAAUUUUUAUCGCAACACAGUCAUAAGUCGCAUGUGACGUUCACAUUGUGAAUUGAAAUGAUGUUUUGAUUAGUGUCUUAGUUUGUUGUUUCAUGGUAGCACGGGCAUUCACCUGUGUUAGUUUUUCAUCUUGAAUGAAAGUAACUUUGUGUUAUAAUUGAUUGAGCAUAUGAAUUUAUGAAGUAUUGGUUGUGUAUGCUAAUUCUGACGGAUGGAAUCCUUUGCUUUCUAGCAUCGUGCACUAAUAUCUCUACCCCUAAUGUCUCAGUUGGUAGAAUAGGUUCCACGAAUUUUUUUUGUCCCACCACUUUCGUCUAGUUUUUUUCUUUGUUUUUUUGUCCCCCACCCCACCCCACCCCAUGCAAGCACCCCCAAAAAAAACCCGCACAAACACCGCUCCUAUCGAUCCCCUGGACGCACGAGAUCGCCGCCGCCGACCUCACAGAGAAGAUGCCACCGAAUCUUGUACACGUACGGGAUCGCCGGAUCCCUGGAACGCCGCUGAUCUAUUCACUACGUCGACGGAAACCAAGCGCUACACUAGAAACCAGGCCGAUCCCAGAGCCAGAAGAAGAAGGAGAAGAGGGUGUCCAUGGCUCAUCAGGCGUCGGCGGGCAAUGAUGACACGCGGAUGCGAAGGUGUUCGUGGAUGGCCUGGCGUGGAAGAUGAGCAAGGAGGGCGUGCGCGACCAGUUCGAGCUCUUCGGCGAGAUCCUCGAGGCCGUCGUCAUCGCCAACAAGGGCACCGACAUAUCCAAGGGCCGCGGAUUCGUGAGUACCCACCCAAACAAUUCUCUCUUCCCCUCAUCGUCAAUUCAUGUUCAGUAGUUAAUUCUCUUGUUUAAUUCAGCCCUGUUAGUUGAUGCUAUGCCUAGAUGGAUGUUUGGCAGGUUACGUUUUGGGAGGCGGAGGCGGCCAUUAGGGCGUGCUUGGGUCCGUACCGGUGAUUGACGACCGAAGGACCAACUGCAACCUUGCCCGCCUCAGGGUCCAAAGGUCCAAGGCCCCACAACCAACUGCCUCUGCAUCCAUAUGCUGCAAUCAAGUUACCAAAUCUGAAGCAUUUUAGCAAGGCAACGGUACAUGUGCUCUUUUGGUGGAAGAUGAAGCUUUUGUUGGUAAUGUGAUGUUUUUUCUGACGAAGACUGACAAUUAAUUCAAAAGACUGACAAUUAACCAUGG
Long non-coding RNA from Triticum dicoccoides, 1737 nucleotides. RefSeq lists it as uncharacterized. The record is from RefSeq and is a predicted model, not a curated record. Lineage: Eukaryota; Viridiplantae; Streptophyta; Magnoliopsida; Poales; Poaceae. The transcript is spliced from 2 exons.